UUGGGGCUUGAUAUCUAUCCUUAAAAAAUCAAUAGUGUUCCAUCACUUCAUGCUUGGACUCCUAAUGUAUGCAUAUGUUAAAAUGUUUUCCACUUGUUUUGUUUUGGCAGAUGCCCUUGUGUAUAAUGGAGCAAGUGUUUCUCGCCCACAGCCUGAUAGGAGGUGUUCUGCUUGUAACUAUGAUGAUCUUCGCCAGAGCGGCGUUACGCUCCAGCAGAACACAGGCUGUUGUUGUGAUGAAAACCCUGUCAACAGUGGUGGAGUGAACAGACCUUCACCACACAAAGAACCACACAGGCACAUUACACAGUAAAAUACUUUUCUAUGUUUGUAAAAGGUAAAUACAAUGGUAUGAUAGAAAUAGGAUUGAGCUAGUAUUUGCAAAACUCAGAUAUUUAAUGUGAUUCAUAUUAAUAGCUGCACAAAUGCCAAUCAUAUCUUCUUGGUUAUGUGAUAUUUCUCCUUGAUAUGUAUGACCUUAGUUAUCUAACCUAAUAUGUUACUCACUGUGCAAAGAAUGUAUGCUUCUUGUUAUUCUGGACUUACUUUUGAUAAGCAAAUAAAAUAGGUUUCUUAAGUUAUGUUGUGAAGCCUAGCAAAAGUAAAUAUUUUUUAUCUAGAGUAUAUAGAAUAAAAAAGUAAUGCAAUUGAUUA
Triplophysa rosa is the source of this 654-nucleotide long non-coding RNA. RefSeq lists it as uncharacterized. NCBI's taxonomy places the organism in Eukaryota, Metazoa, Chordata, Actinopteri, Cypriniformes, Nemacheilidae. The transcript has 2 exons. The record is from RefSeq and is a predicted model, not a curated record.